CACCUCUUGCCUCCCAUCUUAGGAAACUCAGCUGCUUGAUUUUUCACUCUCAGGAGAUGAGACAGCCGGUCUUGGGGGAAAGUGGAAACCGCAGCACACACGACGCAUUUUUCAAAUGCUUGUGUUACCCAGAGCCCUCGAGAACGAGAAAGGAAGCUGGCGGCUUGGCAGGUGUGGAGGCCCCUUCCCGCAGACAUCUGUCAGCGGCUGUGGAAGCCCAGCCCCCUCCUCUUUGCAGAGGAAGAGCCCUGGAUUCCUGGCAAGAGCAGGCAUCCGUUCCACCGGUAUGUUCCAGCUGCUCGUCAUCCUGGAAGGAGGGUGGAAAAGCAAGAGAAAGAUUCCUCCUGGUAGAGCCAGAGCCGCUUGCUCCUCAGAUGUCAGACCUACGCAGGAGUUUCUGCAGGCAGAGGCACCCCGCUGCACCCGGGGCAUGCGGGCACUGCCUGCCUCUGCGUGGGGGAGGGCACCAUCUGCGAUUCGGCCAGGGUCUGGGUGAGCCCGCUGACGGAAGUCGUGAUUUGGAAUAAGCACUUAGGGGUCGCGCGGUGGUCAGAGAGGCGAUCAGGCCCACCAGUUCUUAUCCCCUCCCGAUCAGGACCGAGGCUCAGCUGCUGUGACAUGCUACAGCCCACCACGUGUUCACGUGGAAACACUUCUACACGGCUGCAUAAUAUUUCAUUGAAUGUAUACACCAUAUUUAUCUAUUCAUCUGUGGAUUGACAUUUGAGAUGCUUCCACCUGUUGAUCAUAGUGAAUAAUGCAGUGAACAUGGAUGUGCAACUAUCUCUUCAAGAUCCUGAUUUGAAUUCUUUUGGAUAUAUACCCAGAAGUGGGAUUGCUGUAUCAUAUGAUGUUGACCAUCUUAGUUGCCCUUUUUCACACCUUCCCAAGCAAAGGCCUCUGAAAGUGUGCCGCCCAGAACUGGACCUGAUCCGACCAGGGAAGGGAUCUUGUGGCCAAAGGGCAUUUGCUGUCUGCCUUGAUUUUAAAGUGUCUGCAUUCAAAGACUUGGCCGGCGCCGCCCCUCAGGAGCUGGGGUGCCUUCAGACAGACAUCACCUCCCACUUGAAUUCCGAGGGCGAACUCCAGAAUGGCCUUCCCACUCUCCCUGUCUCAGCUUAACUUGGCUUCUCUCUACGAUUUUCCAUUUUAAAAUUUGUGCUGUGCUCUUGAUUCCAAUGUAAAGGUUGUUUGUGAGUGCCUUUAGGAGUAAAGAUCAAGUUCAAAACCGAAAUACCACAAGAUGCCCAGCGGGAGCCACGUGGAGAAUCUUUCACUUACCUACCAAACCAGGCCAGGAGGCCCAAGAGGCCUUUGCCACUUCCAGCUGAGUCACCACCGGCUCCACACCUUCUGCUUUUUCCCCUGAAAAUGCUUUCCCGUCUCUGCUCAGUGACUAACUCCAUCACCAAUGUGACCCAGUUUGUUUGGCAAGAUGUGAUUUUUUUUAACUCACGCUGCUUUCACUGGUCACGACUCUCACAGGCAUUUAGCGGCUCCCUCUCGGCGUCCGUCUGGCCCUGCUGCCGUGCUGGAUUGAUGGCUCUCUCCCCAGCUGUUCCUUUCCAGCCUGCUCUCCUCUCCCUGGCAAAUCCAUAUUCCAUUUGCUUUUCUGCAGCAUUUUGAUAUCUCCAGAGUCUCCUUAAAAUAGACAGAUAAACACUAAUCUCCAAGGAAGUUGCAAAGCAGAGCCCACAGAUUUGUACCAGCUCGGUAAUCUGCUCUCGAGGGCAGCUGGCUGGAAAGCAUAACAAUGGGAGUCACCAUGGAUGGGCUGCUUAUCAUUUGCAGAGCAUUCUGACUCACGCGGUCUCAUUAAUGUACGCGAUCCCCCACAGCACAGGUACAAGUGGUCCUUCCAUUUUGUAGGUGGGAAAACAAGGCCAAGGGAUGAAGAAGUGGUCUGUACAGUAUGUAGCAGAGAGGGCCAGGACUUGAACCUGCCCUUUUUAAAACUGCUGUAUAAUUUACAUUCAGUAAAAAACACACAGAUCUUCAGUGUCGUUUGAUGAAUUUGACAAAUGUAUACACUUGUGUAACUACCACCAGGAAAGGAUAUGGAACAUUUCCAUCACCCAGAAAGUCCCCUCGUGCCCUUUUCCAGUAAACUCCUAACCACUGUCUGACUUCUACACCAUAGAUUAGUUUGCCUUGAACCUGUCUUCUGACUCCAAACUCCAUAUUCCACGUCCCGUCCUUCUUCCAUUACACAUUACACCUUUGAAAUUAACUCAAUAGGCACCUUGGGUCCCACCUGGCUGGAAUCUAUAGACAUAGGACUUUAGGAAGCCAGGCCAUUGUCUUUCAGCUGAAAAAGUAGGUCAACUGGUGGAGUGGACCUGGAGGCUCACGACUUGGGGAAUGCAUGGAGAGCAAUUCCAAAACCACACAAAGGCCCUGUCUCUAGGUACACUGUGAAGUUGAACGCACUGCUUGCAGGCCUCAGCACUUCCAGGUACAGACGGUUCCUGAAGGAAAACUGUUACAAGGUUUAAAAGAGAGGGGUCAGAAUUCAGCUUUGAGAUAAAAGAACACCAAACUGCAGUCCCGACCUCUGGGACCUCCCCACCCACCCUGAACUGCCGCAGCAUCUGGGGCCACCAGUUCCAGGCAACAUCCUGAAUUUUCACACCAGACUCCUGUGGACUUUUCAUGCCAUCAGGCAUGUGUAAUCUGUAAACGGGGAGUUUUGCGACUGGAGGCCUCCAUUUUAGGGAAAGAAAAAAAAAGAAAGGAAAGAAAGAAUGAAAGCCCAUUCUGUUACUUCCGAGGAUAGGCGGUAAAUGGCACUAACGCUGAGUCCCUUUAGGUGGCAUUCCUAUCAGGCUUUCCUUAAUGAAGGGAUACAAAAUACAGUUAACCUUGUCUGCUUAUCUGCCCACAGUUUUACGCUAAACUCUUUGUUCGCUCCGGUAGGUCAACUGGUUGCUCGGAUCUUGUUUAUACGCAGUGGCAGUGGCGCGCUGGUAAAUGUUUAACAGCUGACUCUCCGGGAGGAAAAAAGCCCUGUUUUGUAGCAUUUGCCGAUCUCCACCUGUCCCUGACAGCGGGUUGGGAGACAGCCCGUGUGCCCCGGCUCAGCACGCUUGCAAGUUCAAUAAUACCUUUAAGAGAGCACACCAUUUCCCCACAGGCAGCACGGAGAAGCGUGGCGCGGGCGGCGCUGCCGGCACCCCAGUGAUCUCCAGGGCACGCGAUUUGUGGGCGGCCCUGUCUGUGCCCUCCGCCUGCUCCUCCAGGCUCUCCCAGGGCGGUUUUCUCUCUCCAAAAGAUAGGUUGUACAGGUGACAGUUUCCAAGGGCCUCCUCCCCUGAGCUGGAAUUUCCAAACAAACCUUCAAAGUCAUUUUUGAAGCGCAGAAUAAACAUAAACUAGCCCGAGAUGAAUUUCCACAAAUCUCCAAGCCCGGGAAUCUGGAUCCCCAGCCUCCACCCUUCUUACAUGGCCUCAUUGAACGGCUGGUCUUUUAAGAGUUUUUAGAACAACCCUAAACACCCAGCUUUCUUGCUCUGUUUUGUUUUUUCUUUAG
Equus caballus (horse) is the source of this 3529-nucleotide long non-coding RNA. The record is from Ensembl. Lineage: Eukaryota; Metazoa; Chordata; Mammalia; Perissodactyla; Equidae.